RNAcentral lists this ribosomal RNA (796 nucleotides) under uncultured bacterium. RNAcentral describes it as "bacterial SSU rRNA". It matches the Rfam family "Bacterial small subunit ribosomal RNA", at positions 51 to 846 of the family's 1533-position model. The record is from RNAcentral.
ACACAUGCAGUCGAGCGGAUGAGGUAGCUUGCUACUGGAUUCAGCGGCGGACGGGUGAGUAAUGCUUAGGAAUCUGCCUAUUAGUGGGGGACAACGUUCCGAAAGGGGCGCUAAUACCGCAUACGUCCUACGGGAGAAAGCAGGGGACCUUCGGGCCUUGCGCUAAUAGAUGAGCCUAAGUCGGAUUAGCUAGUUGGUAGGGUAAAGGCCUACCAAGGCGACGAUCUGUAGCGGGUCUGAGAGGAUGAUCCGCCACACUGGGACUGAGACUCGGCCCAGACUCCUACGGGAGGCAGCAGUGGGGAAUAUUGGACAAUGGGGGGAACCCUGAUCCAGCCAUGCCGCGUGUGUGAAGAAGGCCUUUUGGUUGUAAAGCACUUUAAGCGAGGAGGAGGCUACCUAGAUUAAUACUUUAGGAUAGUGGACGUUACUCGCAGAAUAAGCACCGGCUAACUCUGUGCCAGCAGCCGCGGUAAUACAGAGGGUGCGAGCGUUAAUCGGAUUUACUGGGCGUAAAGCGUGCGUAGGCGGCCAAUUAAGUCAAAUGUGAAAUCCCCGAGCUUAACUUGGGAAUUGCAUUCGAUACUGGUUGGCUAGAGUAUGGGAGAGGAUGGUAGAAUUCCAGGUGUAGCGGUGAAAUGCGUAGAGAUCUGGAGGAAUACCGAUGGCGAAAGCAGCCAUCUGGCCUAAUACUGACGCUGAGUACGAAAGCAUGGGGAGCAAACAGGAUUAGAUACCCUGGUAGUCCAUGCCGUAACGAUGUCUACUAGCCGUUGGGGCCCUUGAGCUUUAGUGG